CGGGGAGUAGCGCAGCCCGGUAGCGCGCCUGCUUUGGGAGCAGGAUGUCGCAGGUUCGAAUCCUGUCUCCCCGA
Molecule: non-coding RNA, 74 nt
Organism: Sphingopyxis sp. LC81
Lineage: Bacteria; Pseudomonadati; Pseudomonadota; Alphaproteobacteria; Sphingomonadales; Sphingopyxidaceae
Source: Rfam